This 1121-nucleotide unclassified non-coding RNA is filed under the name Athalia rosae (coleseed sawfly). RNAcentral's name for it is "misc RNA ENSAEAG00005008469.1". Lineage: Eukaryota; Metazoa; Arthropoda; Insecta; Hymenoptera; Athaliidae. The record is from RNAcentral.
AGACUGACCAGUUCGGAGGCCUACUUCGUCAGCGAAGCCCUUUAUUGUCAUCCCGAGGAAUUGGAGAACCCGAGGGAAAUAACGUUGCACGUUAUCACGAUCGGAUCGCAGAUCGAAGAUUCGACCAAGAAGGACGAUUUCCCAGCGAUAGCUGCAGCUCUGCGUCGUUACAUUCCCGAAAGCGACACACCGUUCAUUCUGGACGUUGACUUGGAUUUCUUCAGCACGCGAAAUCCGUUUCGCGAUCUCUACGAACGUGCCGGACUCUACGAUCGUCUCGCGCCUCUUUACGCCUUCGCUCGACCGGAUUCGUCCGAUCCCGAGCUGCUUAAGGAGGCUGUGGCAUCGCGAGACGAGCAACUCAGCGAGCUCAAAUCACUUUUUGGGCAUCUCCAGGAGCACCGGAGUCUACGCGGAUACGAAAAAAGUGGAGAUACACGUCGAUUCGAAGCGGUGGAAAGGAUAUUUCGCGAGGUGACCUCGGUCUACAAGGAGUCCGAAGUCGACUGGAAUUUGGUGCACGACGCGGGGUGCACGAGGGAUGAUACGGACCUUCCGCACCACGUCACGUCCCAGCAGGACCUCGAUCGUUUGAUAACGGGGACGUUCAGGACAUUCCUUGCGGCGCUUCCGGCGAAACCGACGAUCGUCACCGUAGCCAGGUCCAGUUUGGACGACUACUGCCCAACCGAGGACGUCGAACUCAUUCAAGCCGGGAUCCUUGACGAACUAAGUCACCGGCUCGGAACCGUCGAUAUCAAGAGACCUUACCUCGAAGUCGAAGAAGCUACCUAAGCGAUCGAAGGAGAUAAAACGAGAGGUCCUGAAUCGCUCGAAAGAUGAUUUUUUUUUUUCAAUAUUCAUUUCCCAAUAAAUAGACUAAAAUUUUCUCUACAUAAUUCACUGAUUUAUUUUCAGUAGCGUUCGGUGUCCUCAAUUUUUAACCAAGUCAGGGUCCUGCGGGACGUGCACGCUACGCGUACGUCGAGCGACCCUUUUGCUCCUCCGCGCUCCACGGACCUCCGGGUUUCGUGUUUCUCGCGCGAUUUACAUAAGAUCUGUACCACUGGGCUACAAACCAGUGCCUGCAGGCACUCGCACAAUGAGUUUACAAUGCCGGG